This 208-nucleotide ribosomal RNA is filed under the name uncultured Mesorhizobium sp. Its description in RNAcentral is "partial 16S ribosomal RNA". It matches the Rfam family "Bacterial small subunit ribosomal RNA", at positions 1181 to 1382 of the family's 1533-position model. Lineage: Bacteria; Pseudomonadati; Pseudomonadota; Alphaproteobacteria; Hyphomicrobiales; Phyllobacteriaceae. The record is from RNAcentral.
GACGGUCAAGGUCCUCAUGGCCCUUACGGGCUGGGCUACACACGGUGCUACAAUGGUGGUGACAGUGGGCAAGGCGAGACCGCGAGGUCGAGCUAAUCUCCAAAAGCCCAAUCUCAGUUCGGAUUGCACUCUGCAACUCGAGUGCAUGAAGUUGGAAUCGCUAGUAAUCGCGGAUCAGCAUGCCGCGGUGAAUACGUUCCCGGGCCUU